RNAcentral lists this ribosomal RNA (527 nucleotides) under uncultured bacterium. Its description in RNAcentral is "bacterial SSU rRNA". It matches the Rfam family "Bacterial small subunit ribosomal RNA", at positions 189 to 696 of the family's 1533-position model. The record is from RNAcentral.
GAAGGGUUCCGGGGAAAGGGAGGCCUCUGAUACAAGCUUUCGCCUUAAGAUGAGCCCAUGGCCCAUCAGCUAGUUGGUAGGGUAAAGGCCUACCAAGGCUACGACGGGUCGCUGGUCUGAGAGGACGACCAGCCACACUGGCACUGAGAUACGGGCCAGACUCCUACGGGAGGCAGCAGUGAGGAAUAUUGCGCAAUGGGGGAAACCCUGACGCAGCAACGCCGCGUGUGGGAAGAAGGCCUUCGGGUCGUAAACCACUUUUGCACGGGACGAAAAAGGGAUAUCGAACAAAUAUCCCCGAUGACGGUACCGUGAGAAUAAGCCACGGCUAACUCUGUGCCAGCAGCCGCGGUAAGACAGAGGUGGCAAGCGUUGUUCGGAAUUACUGGGCGUAAAGAGUCUGUAGGUGGUUUGUCAAGUCUUUGGUGAAAGGCCGUAGCUUAACUAUGGGAAUGCCAAAGAGACUGGCAGGCUGGAGGCUGGGAGAGGGAGCGGAAUUUCNGGUGUAGCGGUGAAAUGCGUAGAUA